UUAAUGAGAGUUUGAUCCUGGCUCAGGACGAACGCUGGCGGCGUGCCUAAUACAUGCAAGUAGAACGCUGAAGAGAGGAGCUUGCUCUUCUUGGAUGAGUUGCGAACGGGUGAGUAACGCGUAGGUAACCUGCCUUGUAGCGGGGGAUAACUAUUGGAAACGAUAGCUAAUACCGCAUAACAAUGGAUGACACAUGUCAUUUAUUUGAAAGGGGCAAUUGCUCCACUACAAGAUGGACCUGCGUUGUAUUAGCUAGUAGGUGAGGUAAUGGCUCACCUAGGCGACGAUACAUAGCCGACCUGAGAGG
This 307-nucleotide ribosomal RNA is filed under the name Lactobacillus delbrueckii subsp. bulgaricus. RNAcentral describes it as "bacterial SSU rRNA". It matches the Rfam family "Bacterial small subunit ribosomal RNA", at positions 1 to 299 of the family's 1533-position model. Lineage: Bacteria; Bacillati; Bacillota; Bacilli; Lactobacillales; Lactobacillaceae. The record is from RNAcentral.